GGAUCAGUUGCGUGGAACAUUGUGUAAGAUGCGGUUUUGAGGAUGAAACAACAAGUCAUAUACUUUUGAAUAUCCACCAUCUAACCAUAUUUAGGCUCUAUCAAAUUAACCCCAAUCUUUCUCAACAGAGGUUGUCUUUACGAAUAUGGAGAAUCAUUGAUAUCCAUGGUUAAGAUAUUUCCAUGGUUGAAACGACAUAACUGGAAAACGAUCUAUAUUUAGCAGUCAGGUGAAUACAUAAUUGUCUCAAUGGUGUAGAGUAAGUGGGUCGUGGAAAAGUGUAAUGACUCACCU
RNAcentral lists this long non-coding RNA (294 nucleotides) under Brassica napus (rape). Its description in RNAcentral is "long non-coding RNA (BNAP_LNC011910)". Lineage: Eukaryota; Viridiplantae; Streptophyta; Magnoliopsida; Brassicales; Brassicaceae. The record is from RNAcentral.